Molecule: microRNA precursor, 97 nt
Filed under: Poecilia formosa (Amazon molly)
Lineage: Eukaryota; Metazoa; Chordata; Actinopteri; Cyprinodontiformes; Poeciliidae
Description: miRNA (ENSPFOG00000021191.1)
Source: RNAcentral
CUGUGUGGCGCUUUCAGUCUUCAGUUCCUCCCAGCCCAUGACGAUAAACGCAAACGAGUUGAGGCGAGUUGAAGACUUUAAGCGCUGUGCAGAUUCA